UACCACCCUUUGUUUAUUACACUUUGUUGCUUUGGCAAGCCUGCCCUCGGGCUGCUGGCUCCGGCCGGCGAGCGCUUGCCAGAGGACCUAAACUCUGUUUGUCUAUACUGUCUGAGUACUAUAUAAUAGUUAAAACUUUCAACAACGGAUCUCUUGGUUCUGGCAUCGAUGAAGAACGCAGCGAAAUGCGAUAAGUAAUGUGAAUUGCAGAAUUCAGUGAAUCAUCGAAUCUUUGAACGCACAUUGCGCCCCCUGGUAUUCCGGGGGGCAUGCCUGUCCGAGCGUCAUUACAACCCUCAAGCUCAGCUUGGUGUUGGGCCCCGCCGCCCCGGCGGGCCCUAAAGUCAGUGGCGGUGCCGUCCGGCUCCGAGCGUAGUAAUUCUUCUCGCUCUGGAGGUCCGGUCGUGUGCUUGCCAUCAACCCCCAAUUUUUUUCAGGUUGACCUCGGAUCAGGUAGGGAUACCCGCUGAACUUAAGCAUAUCAAUAA
RNAcentral lists this ribosomal RNA (488 nucleotides) under Geomyces sp. 2PM1. Its description in RNAcentral is "eukaryotic LSU rRNA". The stretch from base 134 to 287 matches the Rfam family "5.8S ribosomal RNA". Lineage: Eukaryota; Fungi; Ascomycota; Leotiomycetes; Thelebolales; Pseudeurotiaceae. The record is from RNAcentral.